This 67-nucleotide transfer RNA is filed under the name Ornithorhynchus anatinus (platypus). It matches the Rfam family "tRNA". From Rfam's summary of the family: Transfer RNA (tRNA) molecules are approximately 80 nucleotides in length. Their secondary structure includes four short double-helical elements and three loops (D, anti-codon, and T loops). The record is from Rfam by way of RNAcentral. Lineage: Eukaryota; Metazoa; Chordata; Mammalia; Monotremata; Ornithorhynchidae.
AGCAGAGUGGCUAAGUGGAUAGAGCCUGGAAAUUAGAAGGACCUGGGUUCUAAUCCCUGUUCUGCCA